Trichonephila clavipes is the source of this 73-nucleotide non-coding RNA. The record is from the annotation of a GenBank genome assembly. NCBI's taxonomy places the organism in Eukaryota, Metazoa, Arthropoda, Arachnida, Araneae, Nephilidae.
GUCCCUGUAGCGCAAUGGAUAGUGCAUGGAACUUCGAAUUCAGAGGACGUGGGUUCGAAUGCCACCUGGGAUG